Molecule: unclassified non-coding RNA, 227 nt
Filed under: Hevea brasiliensis (rubber tree)
Lineage: Eukaryota; Viridiplantae; Streptophyta; Magnoliopsida; Malpighiales; Euphorbiaceae
Source: RNAcentral
GUCGAUUAUACUUGCCGUCCUCACUCCCUGAGCCAACGAUCGGACACAACAAUUCACCUUCGGAAUCAUCCCUCCGCCGAUUCUUCCUUCGUCCAUCAUCUUCUUCACUCCUUUAAUGUCUAUCUGUUUCACUAAGCUUUUCGGAUCGUCACGGUCUUCCAGAAUCCCCGCCACAUCCGUCAGUAAGAUCAGCUUCUCCGCUCCCAGGGCCGCCGCUAAUUCUCCGG